ACCGCGCCCCGGCUUGAGUGGAAAUCCUUUUUGCAAUCUGAAAACUUGCUUUUAAACAAAAACUUCGAUGCAAAAAGAUUGGGAACGGAAGACGGAAAUUGGC
This 103-nucleotide unclassified non-coding RNA is filed under the name Halpernia humi. Its description in RNAcentral is "Chryseobacterium humi Flavo-1 RNA". Lineage: Bacteria; Pseudomonadati; Bacteroidota; Flavobacteriia; Flavobacteriales; Weeksellaceae. The record is from RNAcentral.